GAUGAACGCUGGCGGCGUGCCUAAUACAUGCAAGUCGAGCGAACAGACGAGUAGCUUGCUUCUCUGAUGUUAGCGGCGGACGGGUGAGUAACACGUGGAUAACCUACCUAUAAGACUGGGAUAACUUCGGGAAACCGGAGCUAAUACCGGAUAAUAUAUUGAACCGCAUGGUUCAAUAGUGAAAGACGGUCUUGCUGUCACUUAUAGAUGGUUCCGCGCCGCAUUAGCUAGUUGGUAAGGUAACGGCUUACCAAGGCAACGAUGCAUAGCCGACCUGAGAGGGUGAUCGGCCACACUGGAACUGAGACACGGUCCAGACUCCUACGGGAGGCAGCAGUAGGGAAUCUUCCGCAAUGGGCGAAAGCCUGACGGAGCAACGCCGCGUGAGUGAUGAAGGUCUUCGGAUCGUAAAACUCUGUUAUUAGGGAAGAACAAAUGUGUAAGUAACUGUGCACGUCUUGACGGUACCUAAUCAGAAAGCCACGGCUAACUACGUG
RNAcentral lists this ribosomal RNA (497 nucleotides) under uncultured bacterium. RNAcentral's name for it is "partial 16S ribosomal RNA". It matches the Rfam family "Bacterial small subunit ribosomal RNA", at positions 28 to 507 of the family's 1533-position model. The record is from RNAcentral.